CCCAAAAGAAUCCUCUGUGGUCGCCCCCGUCCUUUGGGUCUUAAAUCUGCUUAAAAGUUCAAAUACAUUUCAUUAGACCUGCAAUCCACGUGAACUCACCCGAACCUCCAUCGGCCGACGGACCUAACAUGUUGUGCACACGGUUUGCAUAUAAAACAAACGUUGGAUACGGAAUAUCGUAUUUGCGUGCUGCCUGGGACAGAGACAGUCCUUCCUUCAACACCGAGAAGAUCGCCUCAGCCAUCGUCUCUGGCCGCCAGGAUUUCAGCGGGCCACGUUCGCGGAAGCGCAGAUUGUGGACGAGGCUCUGGUUCGUGUUCCAGCAUUUCUGCCACAUGGACUGCAGCUGGUACUGGUAGCUGUCUGCUGAAAAAUUAUUUUCAGUUAGUAUUCAAUUUAUAAAACAAACAACACCAAUUUAAAAUACAAAUAAAUACAGAAAGCAAAUAAGUAAAGUUUUAAAAUAAAAAUCGAUUACCGCAGAGUACGUUGUUAAAAUAUCUGAAACACACGAAACAUGUAAAAUUCUCGUCACAAGAUGGAAUAUUGGAAAAGUGAUGAGAAAAUGACAGUAAAAUAAUAAAUUACAGAAAUAAUACAAUGCAACUAUCAUGACGCAAGAUAAUAAA
Long non-coding RNA from Dalotia coriaria, 629 nucleotides. RefSeq lists it as uncharacterized. NCBI's taxonomy places the organism in Eukaryota, Metazoa, Arthropoda, Insecta, Coleoptera, Staphylinidae. The transcript has 2 exons. The record is from RefSeq and is a predicted model, not a curated record.